Schistocerca piceifrons (Central American locust) is the source of this 909-nucleotide long non-coding RNA. RefSeq lists it as uncharacterized. The transcript is spliced from 3 exons. Lineage: Eukaryota; Metazoa; Arthropoda; Insecta; Orthoptera; Acrididae. The record is from RefSeq and is a predicted model, not a curated record.
GUGGCUAGUCUGGUACAAUAAUAGUGCCAUGUGCAUCUGAUGACUAAGUGUUUUUGGUGUUGUGAUGCACAAAAUACUGUACCACAGAACCUUAACUGAUAAUGGAAGCAAAAGAGUGAUUCAGCUCUGAAACUGUUUGAUACAAAUAGCUCAACAUCUCAUUAGUGUAGCUAUGGGUUUAAAAUAGUUGUACUUGAAACUGUUUAGUGAAGAGGUUAGUUAAACAGGUGAUUUCCUGAAAUAAUCUGCAUCAGCAAGUUAGCUAUUCUGGAGAAGCACUCAGCACACGGUAGCAGACUUUGGUCAUGGCAGUCAGUAGGCCAGGAAGAAAUGUUGGCAGGAACAAAUGAUGACAGUAGCUGAAACAUGUCAACAAAGUAAUACAUUUAAAAAAUACAUUAAGCAAUCUAGAAUAAUCCAUAAUGCAAGUUUCCAGUCUUUACAGCACACCGAAAUCUUCUACGGUCAGACUGAAUAUUUUUGUACCUUAUUCCAGACAGUACUUCAUUAUAUGCAGGAUUGCAGAUUUCUCGUAAUGUAAAAUAUGUUUAUUAAGAACAAAAACAAAAAAUAUAAACAAAAUGUAUACAUUUGUAUAUAUGUAUGUACAUAUCAAAUAUAUUUGUACCUUUAAGAGGAAUAUAUGUUUAUGGCAACAGAAACAAUGAGCACAGAAAUAAUGUUGCAUAUCUUACAAGUUAACAACAGUAACACAGAAAUUAAUCUGAAAUUCUAUUUCUUUUCUUUUUACUUGUGCAUUUGACUUGUACUUUUUUAAUAGAGCCUUGUUAAGUAAUAAGUAAUCAUUCACUUCAUAACAAUCAAAAUACUAAUUUUACAAACAUAACAGAAUACUUUCUAUAGUAUCCAUUGACAUUUUAUUCAUCUUAUCAGUCAAUUAUAUUUAUA